AAGUCCACAGGUGUAUAUGUAAAUAUAUAACUCCAAAUAAGUAGUUAUCCACGUUGCAUUGGGAAGAGACCUUCGCAGGCGCCGCGUCGUACAAUUUGUAUAUCUGUGGAGAUGAAGGACAAUUAUGAGAUUAAUGUUUUUUAGAUAACUCACGAUUACGUUUUCGUUCGGAUUUGGAAUCCCCCGACUCAUGCGUGGAGGUCACAUACAAACUAGUACAAAUGGAAAUGAAAUAUGUGUGGAAAAGAAAACGGUAUACGUGACUUGAACCUAUGCGUGGCUCAGAUGUCUUCAUGCGUAAGUACAGCAUGCCAAGUAAUGUUGUGGUUUAAAGUACCGUUUCAAUGUCAAAACGCAAGAAUGGCCAAGGUGAGGCAGCAGGUUAACACAACAGGUUCGCUUAAUGUGAUGAUAUGAGCUUGUGUUUAUCAUUAUGAUGAUGACAAUUUAUAGUAAUGAAGAUCUUGAUCACUCAUUUAAAUUUAAUGUAGUGCGUACAUACACCGACGAGAGUGACUCACCUGCUCCGCAUUGACGCGCACACUCGAACUUCUGCGGAUUCUGGUAUUGCUGCUGAUUGCUCGCACAAACCGGAUUGUACUCGGAGGUGGUAGGACAGCUGCCGAAACAGUUCAAGAAUUGUGGCGUAGAUGUGGUGCGCGCUGUAAACGGUGCAAUGGUUGCAACAAUGGGUUGAUUGUUGAUGAAGACAACAUUUGGGGCGGCAUUGUUGUUUCCCUCUGGGCCGGUCGGAGGUGCCGGCGUUGUGGUUGUUGUGCUGCUAGUUGUUUGUCCGCCAUCAUUGCUGAAUAUUAGCGGCUCGCCAGCACCUGGCCAUCCCCAACGACGUCCCGGAAAGGGCGUCGGUCCAAAAUCAAAGUCCGCUGGUGUGAAGAAAGGAUUGCUGUCACCGAAAUUGGUGGAGAAAAUUUGACGCUUCAGGCGUUGUGCGCUGCUCGACGCCUCAUUCCGUUGCUCUGUAGGCACGCCAAACGCUGGGUUGGUUAAUAUCAUCAACACCGCUAUGU
Zeugodacus cucurbitae (melon fly) is the source of this 1028-nucleotide long non-coding RNA. RefSeq lists it as uncharacterized. The transcript is spliced from 2 exons. Lineage: Eukaryota; Metazoa; Arthropoda; Insecta; Diptera; Tephritidae. The record is from RefSeq and is a predicted model, not a curated record.